UGUUGUUGUUGUUGGAGGGAUUAAUCUUUCUGAUGCCCACCCUACAUGACUUGACUUGCCCCGGACAAAGGAGCUGCACUGCCUAUAAGCACAGUGACUGCGAGCUACACAAGAAGAAGAGCCCAGAAGAGCGAGACCAUCAAGACUGCAACGACGUAGAAUCUCCAUCUCUGCCCUCACUCCAUCACUCGCUCAACUCCACGCCUCAGUUGUUUAUUCAUCGUGGGGAACGGCAGAGCGGGGAUUUUGGACAGCUGAGAUUAAACGGACCUGAGGUCUUAAACCCUAAA
Long non-coding RNA from Callorhinchus milii (elephant shark), 290 nucleotides. RefSeq lists it as uncharacterized. The record is from RefSeq and is a predicted model, not a curated record. NCBI's taxonomy places the organism in Eukaryota, Metazoa, Chordata, Chondrichthyes, Chimaeriformes, Callorhinchidae. The transcript has 2 exons.